This 27-nucleotide non-coding RNA is filed under the name Gallus gallus (chicken). RNAcentral also lists the same sequence under 4 other names. The record is from RNAcentral. Lineage: Eukaryota; Metazoa; Chordata; Aves; Galliformes; Phasianidae.
GUAGCAGAGCAGCUCCCUCGCUGCGAU